UGAUAGUACGAUGAUUUGGUUGGCGGGAGAGCUGUAACUGCGGGAAACUGCAGGUAGGGGGCUAGGAGUGUUUUUGACACGAGCCAAGUAAGUUGUAGGCCUAUCAGCUGGUAGUUAGGGUAAUGGCCUAACUAGGCGGAGACGGGAGACGGGGGAUCGGGGUUUGAUUCCGGAGAGGGAGCCUGAGAGAUGGCUACUACGUCCAAGGAUGGCAGCAGGCGCGAAACUUGCCUAAUCCUUUGGGGAGGCGGUUAUGAGAAGUGAGUUUUUUUCGAGUGUAAAGGAGUCGAGAUUGAUUGGAGGGCAAGUCGGGUGCCAGCAGCCGCGGUAAUACCUGCUCCAAUAGUGUCUAUGGUGAAUGCUGCAGUUAAAAAGUCCGUAGUCUUUUGUAUGUCUUUGUUUGGGGGGGAU
Molecule: ribosomal RNA, 411 nt
Filed under: Encephalitozoon intestinalis
Lineage: Eukaryota; Fungi; Microsporidia; Unikaryonidae
Description: partial small subunit ribosomal RNA
Rfam family: Microsporidia small subunit ribosomal RNA
Source: RNAcentral